Molecule: long non-coding RNA, 748 nt
Organism: Oncorhynchus keta (chum salmon)
Lineage: Eukaryota; Metazoa; Chordata; Actinopteri; Salmoniformes; Salmonidae
Exons: 5
Source: RefSeq, a predicted model, not a curated record
GGGGCUAUAACAGCUCUCUGAGGUACCCCACACCACAGGACUGGGACCAUCGCUGUGAGAGUCUGGGGCUAUAACAGCUCUCUGAGGUACCCCACACCACAGGACUGGGACCAUCGCUGUGAGAGUCUGGGGCUAUAACAGCUCUCUGAGGUACCCCACACCACAGGACUGGGACCAUCGCUGUGAGAGUCUGGGGCUAUAACAGCUCUCUGAGGUACCCCACACCACAGGACUGGGACCAUCGCUGUGAGAGUCUGGGGCUAUAACAGCUCUCUGAGGUACCCCACACCACAGGACUGGGACCAUCGCUGUGAGAGUCUGGGGCUAUAACAGCUCUCUGAGGUACCCCACACCACAGGACUGGGACCAUCGCUGUGAGAGUCUGGGGCUAUAACAGCUCUCUGAGGUACCCCACACCACAGGACUGGGACCAUCGCUGUGAGAGUCUGGGGCUAUAACAGCUCUCUGAGGUACCCCACACCACAGGACUGGGACCAUCGCUGUGAGAGUCUGGGGCUAUAACAGCUCUUUGUGGUACCCCACACCACAGGACUGGGACCAUCGCUGUGAGAGUCUGGGGCUAUAACAGCUCUUUGUGGUACCCCACACCACAGGACUGGGACCAUCGCUGUGAGAGUCUGGGGCUAUAACAGCUAUCUGAGGUACCCCACAACACAGGACUGGGACCAUCGCUGUGGUAGUCUGGGGCUAUAACAGCUCUCUGAGGUACCCCACACCACAGGACUGG